UUUUGGUGAGAGGUGUUCACAUGGGACUGAGGUCAGUAAAUGAUGGAGAAGAAAGAAGCCUACCAUGUGCUACGCUGCUACAAUUUCCAAGGCCGAAAAAUUGAUACUAGAAUGGCUGCAUUCUGUUAAGGAAAACUUUUGCCAAUAAAGAGGUAGGGUAUAAAGAAGGACUUAUUCCAGCUGUCCGAAACGCGUCACCUGUCUUUAACAGUGGACAUCGACUACGUAAAGGAGGAGACUGAAUGCGACGUCCACCAAGGGCCUCAGAUUCGUGUUCGUAAGGACCGCAAGUUGUCUCUUAUGCCGUAGUUUGUCUUCUAUCCAAGUUUGUUGCAAGGUUGACAUGUAAAACGGGAUAGUACGUUUGCUUGCAUCAAAACGUGCAACAAAGGAUGUAUGGGGAAAUCUGCAAUAAGACACCCCUCUGUGCACUUAUAAAUGUAUUUUUAUUCAUUUUAAAUUAAAUUCGAUCAUAAGUUUUGAUGAAGUUUAUUUUUGGGUAGGGAAAAGUCGCAACUCCAUAAUGUAAAAUGCACACAAAACUUUUGCGAGAUACGUAUAUGGUGUUCAAGUAAAGAAGAUAACGAGAUGUGAAUCUACCAUCAUUUAGAAACGCUGUUACAUAAAUUAUAACACUUAAAAAGUACAGCAUUGGGAAACCAGAAUCAUGUGCCCACUUUCUUGCAGAAUUGACCACGCGUCUAUCUUCCUAGAAAUGUGAAUAUGCCAUUGUGCUAUUAGGUUUGUAAGAGUUUACUUCAGAUGUUGGCAUGUUGAUUGGUAACCUCCAUAUAAUUAUAUUCUUAGUGCUGGGAAGGAGUAGUCUAAAAGGUGUUUUAAGAAAAUAAAACAUGUAGUUCAGCUAGAGACUUUUUUCGAAAAUGAUUUGUAUUUGUUCUUUAAAAUGGAAAAAUAAGUGCUGGGAAGGAGUAGUCUAAAAGAUUUGUUUUUAAGAAAAUGAAACGUGUAGUUGAGCGAGAGACUUUUUUCGAAAAUGAUAUGUAUGUUAUUUAAGUUGGAGAAUAUGUCUUACGUAGGCCUAUAUGACGAAAAAAAUUAAUCCUGCUUGGGCUACCAAGAUCUUUCAGAACGGAAUUAAUUUAUGCGUUGUUAACGAAGUUAAGUCAGUGUCACAAAUCGGGAAGAAGGUUUAUGUUCACCAAGAAAAAAAUAGCGGUUUAAUGCGAUGUUUUAUUUUACCAUGUUUUGUUCAUUCGACGGUCUAUGUAGGGUUGGCAUUUAUAAUACCUUUUUCACAUUCUAAUUUCUUUUCCAAAUUGAAAUGUAUUAAUUCAGCUGUCGCAAAAUUAAUUCCAUUGAGUAAUGAUAUCAAUCUAUUUCAGGAGCUUAUUUCACGUAAAGUGUGAAACAAUUUGAUAGGUAAUUCACGUAAUUUAUAUUUGGUACACCUAUUCAAAUAUUAAAAUCGAUACUUUAUCAAAAAUGUAAAAAAUGCUUUGAAAUUUUGGAGUCAAAAGUUUGACCAAAGCAUUGCAGGUUAGCCCUCUAAUUAAGGUGUUGCUUGUACCCAGUGCUUAGUCAAGAAUGACUGAAGAAAAAAGGCUGAAUUAGAUGCCAGUCCUACACGCUCUGUUCGGAUUUUUGCCGAGUGUCUCUUGAUUCAGACUUGAACCAAGUUCAUUUUCAUUUUCUGAAUGUUUCGAGUUAUUUCAAGUGAACUGAUUUAGUUUUGCGUAAAUGUAACAUUUUCAGCUAUAUUUGUAUAUUAUUCUUAAAAACGCUGUAACUAAGAUAAACUUGUAAAUGCUCAAGCAUACUUUGAAGUAGAUGAUGUUACGGAAAUAUUUAUUAACGUAGAACAAAAAUACAAUCAGAUGUAGUUAAUUUUUGGUGAAACCAAGUAGCCUAGUCUGUUAUUGUUCCAAUUCAUUCAGAUAAGAAUAAAUUCUUGUAUGUUAUACUGAUUUCAAAAUGAGAAAAUUU
Molecule: long non-coding RNA, 1944 nt
Organism: Lingula anatina
Lineage: Eukaryota; Metazoa; Brachiopoda; Lingulata; Lingulida; Lingulidae
Source: RefSeq, a predicted model, not a curated record